RNAcentral lists this ribosomal RNA (481 nucleotides) under uncultured bacterium. RNAcentral's name for it is "partial 16S ribosomal RNA". It matches the Rfam family "Bacterial small subunit ribosomal RNA", at positions 30 to 506 of the family's 1533-position model. The record is from RNAcentral.
AUUGAACGCUGGCGGCAUGCUUUACACAUGCAAGUCGAACGGUAACAGGCCGCCAGGUGCUGACGAGUGGCGAACGGGUGAGUAAUGCAUCGGAACGUGCCCAGUCGUGGGGGAUAACUACUCGAAAGAGUAGCUAAUACCGCAUACGAUCUAUGGAUGAAAGCGGGGGACCGUAAGGCCUCGCGCGAUUGGAGCGGCCGGUGUCAGAUUAGGUAGUUGGUGGGGUAAAGGCUCACCAAGCCAAAGAUCUGUAGCUGGUCUGAGAGGACGACCAGCCACACUGGGACUGAGACACGGCCCAGACUCCUACGGGAGGCAGCAGUGGGGAAUUUUGGACAAUGGGCGCAAGCCUGAUCCAGCAAUGCCGCGUGCAGGAAGAAGGCCUUCGGGUUGUAAACUGCUUUUGUACGGAACGAAACGGCUCUGGUUAAUACCCGGGGCUAAUGACGGUACCGUAAGAAUAAGCACCGGCUAACUACGU